UGCCAGCCGCCGCGGUAAUACGUAGGGGGCGAGCGUUGUCCGGAAUUAUUGGGCGUAAAGAGCGUGUAGGCGGUUCGGUAAGUCUGCUGUGAAAACCCAGGGCUCAACCCUGGGCGUGCAGUGGAUACUGCCGGGCUAGAGGGUGGUAGAGGCGAGUGGAAUUCCCAGUGUAGCGGUGAAAUGCGCAGAUAUUGGGAGGAACACCAGUAGCGAAGGCGGCUCGCUGGGCCAUACCUGACGCUGAGACGCGAAAGCUAGGGGAGCGAACAGGAUUAGAUA
RNAcentral lists this ribosomal RNA (279 nucleotides) under uncultured bacterium. RNAcentral's name for it is "partial 16S ribosomal RNA". It matches the Rfam family "Bacterial small subunit ribosomal RNA", at positions 506 to 784 of the family's 1533-position model. The record is from RNAcentral.